UACAGAGGUGGCAAGCGUUGUUCGGAAUUACUGGGCGUAAAGGGCGCGUAGGCGGUCUGCCAAGUCCCGUGUGAAAGCCCUCGGCUCAACCGAGGAACGGCGCGGGAAACUAGCAAGCUUGAGUUCGGGAGAGGGAAGCGGAAUUCCGGGUGUAGCGGUGAAAUGCGCAGAUAUCCGGAGGAACACCGGUGGCGAAGGCGGCUUCCUGGACCGAUACUGACGCUGAGGCGCGAAAGCUAGGGGAGCAAACGGG
This 253-nucleotide ribosomal RNA is filed under the name uncultured bacterium. RNAcentral describes it as "partial 16S ribosomal RNA". It matches the Rfam family "Bacterial small subunit ribosomal RNA", at positions 524 to 776 of the family's 1533-position model. The record is from RNAcentral.